Molecule: long non-coding RNA, 1381 nt
Filed under: Homo sapiens (human)
Lineage: Eukaryota; Metazoa; Chordata; Mammalia; Primates; Hominidae
Description: novel transcript
Source: RNAcentral
AUUUUUAGUAGAGAUGGAUUUUCACCAUGAUGCCCAGGCUGGUCUGGAAAUCCUGACCUCAAUUGAUCCACCUGGCUCGGCCAGUGAAAGUGCUGGGAUUACAGGCGUGAGCCACUGCACCCUGCCCAGUUAGAGUUUUGACAGACGUGUAUACACCCAUGUACUCACCACCCUAUGCCGGAGUAGAACAUUUCUAUCACCCCACUCCUUCUCCUUAUGUUGGGCAGCAUUGGAGCAACUGCAGAAAUUUAAACUGAUACAUUUUAACUGCUUUAUCUAGGGGCCACAAGUGGCCUGAGACCCAGAGAAGAAUCUCAAUGUCACACUAACUUCUUGGUAAGAUGCUUCCAGUUGUCCUGGUAUCUGAAUGGCUUCUAGGAAUGCUCGUGUUACAAACUGCCUAAUUCACGCUGUGUCAUGAGGAAAUGGUGCAGGGACAGAGACUGACUGCAAAAGAGAUAUGUCCUACAAUUUUUGUCACCAAGAUGGAAGUGGGUAAUGGAGGAAAACAAAGGCACAGGGCCAGAAUCUCAUCUGUGGAAAAUCCUUAUGGAUCUUAUAGCUCAUAUGUCAAAUAAAAUUGAUACAGGUUCCCCAUAAAAAUGUGUAUUAUGUUACUGCAGUGAUUUUGAACCUAAAAAAAUGUUGUCAACUAUCAGUAAUAGAAAAACAGUAACAAUACAUUUCAAUCAACCACCCUAUAUGAAAAGCAGAAUCAUCUUUCUAUUCUCUGCAGAAAAUGACAUCACAUUGUUCAAGAUGAGUGUAUUUGUCUGUUCUCACACUGCUAUAUAGAAUUACCUGAGACUGGGUAAUUUUAAAAGAAAAGUGUUUUAAUUGCCUCAUGGUUCUGCAUUCUGUAUAGGAAGCAUGGCUGGGGAGGACUCAGGAAAUUACAAUCAUAGAAGAAGGAGAAGGGGAAGCAAGCACCUUGUUCACAUGGUAAAGCAUGAAAGAGAGUGUGAAGGGGGAAGUGCCACACACUUUUAAACAACAAGAUCUCAUGAGAACUCCAUCAUGAGACAACACCAAGGGGAUGGCACUAAACCAUCAGAAACCACCACCCCCAUGAUCCAGUCAUCACCCCCAUGAUCCAGUCACCACUUUUGGGGUCACCCCCAGGCCCCACCUCCAAUACUAGGGAUCACAAUUCAACUUGAGAUUUGGGUGGGGACACAGAGCCAAACCAUCUCAAAGGAACACUCAAAGAGGGCAACCAAAAUACAAAGAAAUAUUAUAGCGGUAUGACAGGCAGUUAAUUGAUAAAAAUAUUAUGCUAUUUUUCUGAAUUUUGUGGUGUUUGUGACAUUUGUGAGAUCUUUAAAAUGUAUAAUUUGUUGUGAUUUCUUUUUCUCAUGCAAAAUAAAAAUUAAUAAUAAUA